Molecule: small nuclear RNA, 105 nt
Organism: Callithrix jacchus (white-tufted-ear marmoset)
Lineage: Eukaryota; Metazoa; Chordata; Mammalia; Primates; Cebidae
Source: Ensembl
AUUGGAUUAUGCUAAUAUGCUAAAAACUUCAAACGAUACAGAGAAGAUUAGCAUGGCCACUGUGCAAGGAUGACACACACACACACACACACACACACACACACA